ACUUCAGCUUCGGUACCAAGCUUUUAAUCAUUCCUCUGACUUCUACGAGCUCAAGUGAUUUCAGCUUGCUUGUCACUACUCUCAGGAAUCCUGCACUUAGGCGUCAAUACAACAGGGAUUUCAUCACAUCCUGAAAUGCAUUGGCCUGUGGGCUCUACUGACAGACAAGAUUUAUUACUUGACUGUCUCAACUUGAACAAUAAAGUAAAUGACUGCUCCGUGCUUCAGUCAUGCCAUCAAGGGGAGUCAUCUGAACCUUUAUACUAAUCCAAGGUGCUUGAUGCAAGAGUUACAAGAAGAAGAGACUUAUAAAUUGAGGACACAGCUGAGGAAAACACUGCAGUUAUGGCACAGAUUGAAAAACAAAAUCAUGCAUACCUAUGAAAUGAUCAUCUACUGUGCUAAAAAAUAAAAAAGAAAAGAAAAGAAAAGAAAGAAAAAGAAGAGAAAAGGAAACGUGAAAGAAU
Molecule: long non-coding RNA, 467 nt
Filed under: Macaca nemestrina (pig-tailed macaque)
Lineage: Eukaryota; Metazoa; Chordata; Mammalia; Primates; Cercopithecidae
Description: lncRNA (ENSMNEG00000045793.1)
Source: RNAcentral